GUUUCGCCUAAGGCCUCAAAGUCUAGAGCUGUGUGUGUGUGUGUGUAUAUAUAUAUAUAUACACACACAGCUCUAGAGUGUGUGUGUAUGUA
Pelobates cultripes (western spadefoot toad) is the source of this 92-nucleotide non-coding RNA. NCBI's taxonomy places the organism in Eukaryota, Metazoa, Chordata, Amphibia, Anura, Pelobatidae. The record is from the annotation of a GenBank genome assembly.